RNAcentral lists this ribosomal RNA (253 nucleotides) under uncultured bacterium. Its description in RNAcentral is "partial 16S ribosomal RNA". It matches the Rfam family "Bacterial small subunit ribosomal RNA", at positions 524 to 776 of the family's 1533-position model. The record is from RNAcentral.
UACGUAGGGCGCAAGCGUUAUCCGGAUUUACUGGGCGUAAAGAGCGCGCAGGCGGUCGCUCAAGUCGCGUGUGAAAGCCCCCGGCUCAACUGGGGAGGGUCACGCGAUACUGAUCGACUCGAAGGCAGGAGAGGGUAGUGGAAUUCCCGGUGUAGUGGUGAAAUGCGUAGAUAUCGGGAGGAACACCAGUGGCGAAGGCGGCUUCCUGGCCUGUUCUUGACGCUGAGGCGCGAAAGCUAGGGGAGCAAACGGG